RNAcentral lists this ribosomal RNA (301 nucleotides) under uncultured bacterium. Its description in RNAcentral is "partial 16S ribosomal RNA". It matches the Rfam family "Bacterial small subunit ribosomal RNA", at positions 509 to 807 of the family's 1533-position model. The record is from RNAcentral.
CAGUCGCCACGGGAACACGAAGGGUGCAAGCGUUACUCGGAAUUACUGGGCGUAAAGCGUGCGUAGGUGGUGGUUUAAGUCCGUUGUGAAAGCCCUGGGCUCAACCUGGGAAUGGCAAUGGAUACUGGCGAGCUAGAGUGUGUCAGAGGAUGGUGGAAUUCCCGGUGUAGCGGUGAAAUGCGUAGAGAUCGGGAGGAACAUCAGUGGCGAAGGCGGCCAUCUGGGACAACACUGACGCUGAGGCACGAAAGCGUGGGGAGCAAACAGGAUUAGAUACCCGUGUAGUCCCUGUAUCUUAUAC